Molecule: long non-coding RNA, 1064 nt
Organism: Siniperca chuatsi (mandarin fish)
Lineage: Eukaryota; Metazoa; Chordata; Actinopteri; Centrarchiformes; Sinipercidae
Exons: 3
Source: RefSeq, a predicted model, not a curated record
GACUUAGAUACACAAUAACACACACUCACACAUACAGAAGCUAAUAAUAGAAGCAUCAGCCACCUACCAUUUUGCCCUUUGUUCUCUGUUGUUCUCGCCUACCCUGGUGUGUCUUGUAUGUCCCCGACUCGUCUCUGGAUGUGUGUGUGUCUCCUGGUCUGGCCCCAUGGUUUCCCACCUGCUGCUGAUCACCGCCACACCUGUCUCCAAUCAUCCAUCAGUCUCCACAGCUUAAAUACCAGGCUCUCCCACAACACCAACACGUCUCUGUACAAUUGUACGACCACUAUGGCAAGGGUUAUCCUAUGCUGGUGAUCACAGUUCCUGUCUUUGUCUGGAUUCCUGUCUGCCUGCUUGUCUGUCUCUCCAGCCACUCCACCAUGGAGCCAGACCCUUUGCAUCCAUCCUGCUCCAUGAUCUUGGUUCCGUUGACGGUCAGUCUCCACACCUCAUGACCAGCCCAGGUCUACACGGUAUCACCUACACUUCACCUCAUGGACUAGUCUGCCUGUCCAGAUCCACGUGGCAUAUAAACAGUCAGACGGGUGACCGCUGCUUCAGUCUCCACGCCGGAACCAUUGCUACUUCCCCGGAGUUAUCAAGUACGACGGCGAAGGCUUCGCUCUGAAGAAUUACGCUCCUUCCCAUUAUUCCUGGUGACUUUCUAAUAAAAUGAAUUGGUUGUAAAGACUACUAGUGAAUUCUGCAUUUGGGGAUUCGAAAGAUCGUACAAUACAACAGAUUUUAGUGUUUUUAAAGAACUAAACAUUAUCUCUCCAGUAAUCAGCAUGUAAUUCAUCAUCAUUUACAAGGUAAUCAUUAUUCCUGCUUCCACUUAAAAACAAAACAAAACAAAACUCCCUACCAGCACCUCCUAGAGACAAUUUAUUAAAUUAUCUGUGUUUAAGCCAUACAAAACCAAAGUGGAAAAAAUGGCUAGCUAUUUUCCCUGUUUUUAGUCUUUAUGCUAAGCUAACUGUCUCCUGGCUACACCCUCCAAUUUUACGACAUAUGUGAAAGUGGUACCAGUCUUAUUUUUCUCUCAGCAAGAAACUGAAUAAACG